UUUUUUUUGUUAUGUAAGCAACAGAAUUUUAGAUUCUGAGUGAAGUGAAGAAGCCUAUUGUUUUACAAAGAUAUUUUUUCUUUUCUACCAGAGAUCUUGCUCCAGUUUUUAAGUGUAGAACUUUUUCUGAAAGGAAAUCAGUGUGGGGAGAUACUUUAAGGAGGUAAUUUUUCGAUUUUCAAAAGUUUGUUCAUCAAAUGUGAAAAACCAGUAGUUAUAAUUUUUAUGUUCUAUGCUGCAGAAAAACGAUGUAUAAAACCCCUAAAAAUCUAAAAACAGAAUUUUAGUUAUAUUUUUGUACUUUAUUUUUUUAAUAUUUACAAAAAUGUUUGCAAUUUUUAAUAAUUUUAACUUUAUACAAUAUAUAGUAUAGAAUAUGACAUUUCUUUCUUAAAUACUAUUAUAUAAGUUAUUUUCCUUCUCUAGUUAAUGGAUAUAUUCUACAAUACGAUCAUGAAUUAAAAUACAGUAAGCUGUUACAUCUUUUAAAUUUUUAGAGGUUUCUAUUUCAAAAUGUAAUCAACUGAAGAAGUUGUUGAAUCAUUCUGUUUCAAAGUGUCAAUAAUAACAAUCAGUCCCCAAUCUAAAAACCCUGUAGGACUUAAUAUAGGACUUCGCAUAUCACACAUAUCAUACAAUAAAGAGAAUUUUUUUUAAUAAAAUCUAUAAAUUCAAAUCAUUUUAGGGAUACAUAAAAUAAUUUAAAUAUAUGUUCAUGUUUGUUAAAUUACAAUGCUCAAAUUCACUAUAACCUUUGCUUUUUUUCUGUAAAUCAAUUAUAACAUAUCUUGGUUUUUCCAGCUUUGAAGUGGUUUUCAAAUUCCAAAAAACUUUCUGAAUCACUAAGUUCAAGAUAUUGGUAUAAAUAUUAAUAGCUUAGAAAUAAGGUUUUUUUUUACAUAUUUUUCAUUAAUUUAAAUCUCUUGUUAUCAUCUAGGCUUACAUGUGGGAUUUUCCAGACUAUUUUUUUAAUUUCCAGCGCAGCAGUACUUGUUAAUAAUGUUGACUCUGCAACUUUUUUUAAUGUAUCAACAUUUUUCCUUGUUAGUAUUAAUUCAAGUCUCAUAUUUACCAAAAUCUUUAAAAUCCUCGAAAAAUCCCAUCAAAUGCUUCAGUAGAAUACAUACACAAAAAUAUCUACGAUCAGUAUCUGUUAUAGAUUUAUUGUUUUUAAAAAAUCAGCCUGCAUUUUGAUUGCAAUUAUAUUCAUCUAAUACAUGUGAAAAAUAGCUUUUUAUCAAGCUAGUUACCCCUAAGUUUUUUUUAUCCAUUUCCACUCCAUUAAUUUUAAAUCUUACUUGGUCAAAUAGUUGAGAUAUUCUGUUUUUAAAAAGACUAGUUUUAGUUGGUUUUGCUAUUUUCCCCUUAAUAUAAAGAAAACUUUCAUGAAGAUAUGGAUAUGUGGUUUAACUGUUGAACUAAUAUUCACAAAAAUAUAAACAAUUAUACAUUUUUAAAUACAUGAAAUUUAUUAAUAUUUUAUUCUUAUAUUUUAGAUGAAUAAUUUCUAUGAAAAUUGAAUUUCAAAAACUGUCAUGUCAGCAAAACAAAAUAAGACUAAAGAAACAAAAUUCAUUAUAUAUAAAGGUUGGAGAUAAAAAAACAUCUCUGGAUCCAUGACUUGAAAAUCCAGUCUCCGAUAAAGUGACAGACUAUUUUGUAAUUGAGCAUUACAGGACCAAAGACAUGUAAGAGGCUGCAACUAACAAGCAGUAAAUUUAAAUUAAGCUUUACUAAAAUAUAGACCAUGUAUAAUAUUUUUAUAAAUUUUCAGAUGGAAAGUAGCAAAAUGCACUGAUGAGAAAGGGACUGAAGAAAACCAGUUUACAGCCAAAAUGAAUGAUGUGAUACAGGCAGGGCUGAAUAUUUUCAUUAGGAAUCUGGUAACAACUGUCAAUAAUUACAAAAUAUGAAAUUUAUAAAAAUAUAAUACAUUAGCAGUUUUUAACCUUUUUUAGAACAUGGACCCCUGAUGAAAGAUUUUUAGAAAUCGCAGACCACCUACCAAUUUUUCGUUGAAUGCCUUUUUUUUUUACAAAACAUCUCAUGUUAUCCUAACCAAAAUUAUAAUUAUUAUUAUGUAUUACAAGUUAUAAAUGCUAUUUUUAUGCAUUAGAAGUAGACAUAACAAAAUAUACA
This 2139-nucleotide long non-coding RNA is filed under the name Cinara cedri. Lineage: Eukaryota; Metazoa; Arthropoda; Insecta; Hemiptera; Aphididae. The record is from RNAcentral.